GCCUGAGUAGCUCAGUGGUUGAGCGUCUGCCUUUGGCUCAGGGUGUGAUCUCAGAGUCCUGGGAUCGAGUCCCACAUCGGGCU
This 83-nucleotide transfer RNA is filed under the name Canis lupus familiaris (dog). It matches the Rfam family "tRNA". From Rfam's summary of the family: Transfer RNA (tRNA) molecules are approximately 80 nucleotides in length. Their secondary structure includes four short double-helical elements and three loops (D, anti-codon, and T loops). Further hydrogen bonds mediate the characteristic L-shaped molecular structure. tRNAs have two regions of fundamental functional importance: the anti-codon, which is responsible for specific mRNA codon recognition, and the 3' end, to which the tRNAs corresponding amino acid is attached (by aminoacyl-tRNA synthetases). tRNAs cope with the degeneracy of the genetic code in two manners: having more than one tRNA (with a specific anti-codon) for a particular amino acid; and 'wobble' base-pairing, i.e. permitting non-standard base-pairing at the 3rd anti-codon position. The record is from Rfam by way of RNAcentral. Lineage: Eukaryota; Metazoa; Chordata; Mammalia; Carnivora; Canidae. RNAcentral also lists the same sequence under 1 other name.